AUGGCCAUCACCGUCCACCACGUCCUCCUCGCGCUGGCGGUGUUCCCGCUAGCCGCAGCGCAGCAGGAGUACCAGGCCAACGCACAGUCCGACUGCUACGCCAACAACGGCAGCUCCGUCCUCGGCUACACCUGCACCAACACCUCCAGCCUCCUGGCAUGCGCCACCUACGUCGCCUUCCGCUCCGACCUGCCGAGCUACAGCUCCCCAGUCACCGUCGCCUACCUCCUCAACGCCAGCGCGCCUGCCAUCACCGCGGCCAACGACGUGCCCGUCGCGUCCCCGGUCAGGAACAACACCCUGCUCCUCGUCCCCGUCCCCUGCGCCUGCACGGCCGCCGGCCGCUACCAGCACGACGCCGCCUACGCCGUCCAGUUCCGCGGCGAGACCUACUUCUCCAUCGCCAGCGAGACGUACCAGGGGCUCUCCACCUGCCAGGCCCUCAUGGCGCAGAACCCCGCGCGCGACAGCGACAUCCACCCCGGCGUAGCGCUCACCGUGCCGCUCCGCUGCGCGUGCCCGUCCGCCGCGCAGGCCGCGGCCGGGGUGAGGUACCUCGUCACCUACGUCCUUGACUGGGACGACUACGCGUUCACCGUCGCUAAACGCUUCGGCGCGGACCACCAGGCCCUGCUUCAUGCCAACAGCAUCGAGGACGACACCACCGUGUUCCCGUUCACCACCAUGCUGGUUCCGCUCAAGGACCCGCCCACGUCUCAAAUGGCGGCAGUUUUGCCGGAGCCUCCGGCACCGCCACCAGCAUCGUCAUCUGAUUUGGUCCCGCCGGUGACUUCCAGUGAAUCCAGCCGGUGGUGGGUCACCGUCGGCGUUGGUGCUGGAUGCAGCGCUCUUGCUUUGGGUGCCGUGCUCGCUCUCUUCUUGCUAUGGCGUCGGUGCUGCCGGCACGGCCACCGGAACACGAAGACCACCUCAUGGCAGGCUCCGGCGAAGGGAGCUUUCAUGUGGCCGACGGUGGAGGCAGUGGACGUGCGCGAGGCGGUGUGGUCGCUGACCAUGCACGACUACGGGGAUCUAGAGAGGGCUACAUCAGGUUUCUCGGGGGAGCAGCGCAUCGGUAACUCGUCGGUCUACCGCGCGGUGAUCAACGGCGGUGCCGCGGCCGUGAAGCGCGUGCCCGGCGACGACGUCAGCGCUGAGGCCGAGGUGAGCGUCCUGGGGCGCCUCAACCACUCAAGCCUCAUCCGCCUGUCGGGCAUCUGCAUGCACGGCGGCAACAUGUACAUGGUGUUCGAGUUCGCCGAGAACGGCGCGCUCGGCGACUGGCUCCACGUCCACGGCGGCGAGGUGCUCGGGUGGAGCCAGCGCAUGCAGGUGGCUCUGGACGUGGCAGCGGGGCUGAACUACCUGCACAACUACACGGACGCUCCCUACGUGCACAAGAAUCUCAAGAGCAGCAACAUCCUUCUCAACGCGUGCUUCCGCGCCAAGCUCUCAAACUUCGGCCUCGCAUGCGCGAUCACUGUCGACGCCGACGCCGAGGACGGCGGCCUGUGGAUGACCCGGAACGUGGUGGGCACGCAGGGUUACCUAGCGCCCGAGUACGUGGAGCACGGGCUGAUCGGCCCCCAGCUCGACGUGUUCGCGUUCGGCGUCGUCCUGCUUGAGCUCUUGUCAGGGAAGGAGGCGGCGGUGGCACUGGACGGCUCCGGCGGCCGUGGGAACUACGGGAAGGUGGUGCUGCUUUGGGAGGAGGCGGAACGGCCGGGCCGUCUGCGCGAGGGCGACGACGCCAAGGACGACCUGCUGGACAGGGUGACGGCGUUCAUCGAUGGCCGGCUGCACGGGCAGUACCCGCUGGACGUGGUGUUGGCCAUGCUCGCUUUGGCAUUGAGGUGCGUGGCUCGGGAGCCCCGGGCGCGGCCGCCCAUGUCCAAGGUGCUCCUUUCGCUGUCGGGGAUGUAUAGUACAAUUGGACCCUCAGGCCACCGGAUCUCCACCUACUAUCCUGCUCGGGCACAAUAA
RNAcentral lists this ribosomal RNA (1983 nucleotides) under Triticum aestivum (bread wheat). RNAcentral's name for it is "partial small subunit ribosomal RNA". The record is from RNAcentral. Lineage: Eukaryota; Viridiplantae; Streptophyta; Magnoliopsida; Poales; Poaceae.